This 253-nucleotide ribosomal RNA is filed under the name uncultured bacterium. RNAcentral's name for it is "partial 16S ribosomal RNA". It matches the Rfam family "Bacterial small subunit ribosomal RNA", at positions 524 to 776 of the family's 1533-position model. The record is from RNAcentral.
UACGUAGGGCGCAAGCGUUAUCCGGAAUUAUUGGGCGUAAAGAGCUUGUAGGCGGUUUGUCGCGUCUGCUGUGAAAAUCCGGGGCUCAACCCCGGACUUGCAGUGGGUACGGGCAGACUAGAGUGUGGUAGGGGAGACUGGAAUUCCUGGUGUAGCGGUGAAAUGCGCAGAUAUCAGGAGGAACACCGAUGGCGAAGGCAGGUCUCUGGGCCACUACUGACGCUGAGGAGCGAAAGCGUGGGGAGCAAACAGG